AGUGAACGCUGGCGGUAGGCCUAACACAUGCAAGUCGAACGGCAGCACAGUAAGAGCUUGCUCUUACGGGUGGCGAGUGGCGGACGGGUGAGGAAUACAUCGGAAUCUACUUUUUCGUGGGGGAUAACGUAGGGAAACUUACGCUAAUACCGCAUACGACCUACGGGUGAAAGCAGGGGAUCUUCGGACCUUGCGCGAUUGAAUGAGCCGAUGUCGGAUUAGCUAGUUGGCGGGGUAAAGGCCCACCAAGGCGACGAUCCGUAGCUGGUCUGAGAGGAUGGUCAGCCACACUGGAACUGAGACACGGUCCAGACGCCUACGGGAGGCAGCAGUGGGGAAUAUUGGACAAUGGGCGCAAGCCUGAUCCAGCCAUACCGCGUGGGUGAAGAAGGCGUUCGGGUUGUAAAGCCCUUUUGUUGGGAAAGAAAAGCAGCAGGUUAAUACCCCGCUGUUCUGACGGUACCCAAAGAAUAAGCACCGGCUAACUUCGUG
Molecule: ribosomal RNA, 492 nt
Filed under: uncultured bacterium
Lineage: Bacteria
Description: partial 16S ribosomal RNA
Rfam family: Bacterial small subunit ribosomal RNA
Source: RNAcentral